This is a long non-coding RNA of Peromyscus eremicus (cactus mouse), 1729 nucleotides long. RefSeq lists it as uncharacterized. The transcript has 3 exons. Lineage: Eukaryota; Metazoa; Chordata; Mammalia; Rodentia; Cricetidae. The record is from RefSeq and is a predicted model, not a curated record.
AGGCAACAGCAGAGGAGGAAACAAAGUGGCAGCCCUGUGCUCUCCGGGGUGGGUGGGGGCAGACGAUGAACGAGGAGACAAGAUGUGCGGAGCAUCCAACGGUGUUGCUACAAGGUGACAUCUCUGCUUCACUAUGUAUGGGCUAUCAUGAGGUUCUGCCUCAUUACAGGCCCAAAAGGACAUGGCCAAGCAACCAUGACCAGAAACCUCUAAAACCAUGAGCAAGAAUGAACAUCUCCUCCAUUGAAGUUCAUCAGAAAGCUGACUAGUGCAUGCCAGGAAGCAAGCAUGUGAGCAGAGAGCAGCUGGAGAGCAGUUGUGGUGUGUAGGGGAGGCUGUCUGGACAGGGUGAUGGCCUGGAGGCAAGAGGAGGCUGGACCUGGGAUGCUGAUAGCCUGGAGGCAGGAGGAGGCUGGACCUGGGAUGCUGAUGGCCUGGAGGCAGGAGGAGGCUGGACCUGGGAUGCUGAUGGCCUGGAGGCAGGAGGAGGCUGGACCUGGGAUGCUGAUGGCCUGGAGGCAGGAGGAGGCUGGACCUGGGAUGCUGAUGGCCUGGAGGCAGGAGGAGGCUGGACCUGGGAUGCUGAUGGCCUGGAGGCAGGAGGAGGCUGGACCUGGGAUGCUGAUGGCCUGGAGGCAGGAGGAGGCUGGAUCUGGGAUGCUGCACUUAAGAAAAAGCCAGCCGGGCUUGCUGAUAGUUCUAUUUCGGAGUCAGAGAAAUGACGUGCUAGCUUUUCACUCAAGCAACUGGGAAGAUGGAGCUGCUAUUCUCUGAGAGCACUGAAUGAAGACACUUUUAAGAGGGAAGUCUGCAACUCUUUUUAGCACAAUCAAGGCCCACACCCUAGAUGUUAAUAUGGGCCCAACAUCUCUCUGCCUGCCUUGUAAAAAGAGAUCAGACAAUUCUUCCCUGGAAGCUGCCUCUGGGAUGCAGCUGGAAGAGCUACAAUGCCUGAACCGAUAGCCAGGAUUCUAGAUUCCAGGAAAAGGGGCCGGCUGCCAGACAGUUCCACAGGAAAGCCUCCCAUGGAUGAUUUAUGGAGGUGUGACUACCACCAUCUGAAGAGCUGUGUAUAAGACCCUAUGCAAAAAAGCAAGAAAGGAGAUGCGAUUCUGAUCUUCCAUGAUGUCCAUCUCAGUUAGGGACUCAGGAGCACCAAAAUGGCUGAAACAGACGAGAGUAAGCAUCAACCAUGUGAGUGGUCCUGAACAGGGCAUGAACAAACAGAACGGAGAGAGAGCCAACUCAUAGUGCAAUGAUCAAAUGGGUUUGUGUUCAUCCAUCCACCUAUGCAUCCAUCCGUCUAUCCAGCCACCCCACCCACCCAUCCAUCUACCCAUCCACCCACCCAUCUAUGCAUCCAUCCAUCUAUCCAGCCACUCCAUCAAUCUAUGCAUCCAUCCAUCUAUCCAGCCACUCCAUCAGUCUAUGCAUCCAUCCAUCUAUCCAGCCACUCCACCCAUCCAUCCAUCUACCCAUCUACCCACCCACUCAUCUCUGCAUCCAUCCGUCUCUCCAGCCACUCCACCCAUCCAUCCAUCUACCCAUCUAUCCACCCACCACCCAUCCAUCUAUCCAAGCACUCAGGGUUUGUUGAAAGCCUAACAAAAUUAUACCUAUGCUGUUUAGGCACCGGAGAGACCAGAAAGAAUGCUGGAGAAUAGGGUACCCAGUACUCGAAAGUCCUUGAGUGAACCACUUCAAUUAAAUCCUUAUAAGAACUUGUAAA